CUGUUGGUCUACCAUGGCUGUGAGAGCCUGGGAUGCUUGCAGACCUAGAGGAAUAAUCUAUCUGUUGCCUAAGCUCACUGAAGUUCCUACACAUGCAUGCCUAGGGCAGUCUUAAAUGAAGACAAGGGACAAAACACUGAUGCUUAUAAAAGUGCUGUUCUGAGCUUCACUGAGACCAAGCGAGUSAAGGAAAGGGCUGGCCAGCCUUUCUGGUGGAUGCUUGCAUGUCUCCGUGCAUUCUGGCCGAGAUGGAGUGGAAGUGGCACAGCCUCAGAAUACCUGGGAACCAAGAACUGAAAACCCUCUUGGAAACAUCUCAUGGUCUAAUGAAAUUCCUGGGCCAGGAUCCAGUCUGAACGGAUGCAGACAACCAGCCAAACUGAACCACCGGUUCUGCAGAGAUUCAGCCAUCGUUGGUGAUGGAUGGGUGGGAUUUUCAAGGAAGUUUGCAGAACACCCAAAUUUGCUGACCACCCAAAUCCCUUUAAAUUUCAGUUGGAAAUUCAGCUCCUAUCUUUCUUAUGYGCUAGUGAAAAUGUUCAUCUC
Molecule: long non-coding RNA, 546 nt
Organism: Nothoprocta perdicaria
Lineage: Eukaryota; Metazoa; Chordata; Aves; Tinamiformes; Tinamidae
Exons: 3
Source: RefSeq, a predicted model, not a curated record